UGGGGAAUUUUGGACAAUGGGGGAAACCCUGAUCCAGCCAUCCCGCGUGUGCGAUGAAGGCCUUCGGGUUGUAAAGCACUUUUGGCAGGAAAGAAACGUCGCGGGUUAAUACCCCGCGAAACUGACGGUACCUGCAGAAUAAGCACCGGCUAACUACGUGCCAGCAGCCGCGGUAAUACGUAGGGUGCAAGCGUUAAUCGGAAUUACUGGGCGUAAAGCGUGCGCAGGCGGUUCGGAAAGAAAGAUGUGAAAUCCCAGAGCUUAACUUUGGAACUGCAUUUUUAACUACCGGGCUAGAGUGUGUCAGAGGGAGGUGGAAUUCCGCGUGUAGCAGUGAAAUGCGUAGAUAUGCGGAGGAACACCGAUGGCGAAGGCAGCCUCCUGGGAUAACACUGACGCUCAUGCACGAAAGCGUGGGGAGCAAACAGGAUUAGAUACCCUGGUAGUCCACGCCCUAAACGAUGUCAACUAGCUGUUGGGGCCUUCGGGCCUUGGUAGCGCAGCUAACGCGU
This 512-nucleotide ribosomal RNA is filed under the name uncultured bacterium. Its description in RNAcentral is "partial 16S ribosomal RNA". It matches the Rfam family "Bacterial small subunit ribosomal RNA", at positions 355 to 860 of the family's 1533-position model. The record is from RNAcentral.